CCCGAAGGCGCAAUGAAAGUGAAGGCCAGUUCGCCUGGCCGAGGUGGGAUCCCGUCGCUCGGCGGCGGGCGCACCACUGCCCCGUCUCGAUCGCUCUGUCGACSACGCGGAGGAGGAGCGUGUGCGUUAGGAUAUGCCUGAGCAGGACGAAGCCAGAGGAAACUCUGGUGGAAGUCCGCAGCGAUUCUGACGUGCAAAUCGAUCGUCAAACUUGGGUAUAGGGGCGAAAGACUAAUCGAACCAUCUA
This 247-nucleotide ribosomal RNA is filed under the name Dorometra aegyptica. Its description in RNAcentral is "partial 28S large subunit ribosomal RNA". It matches the Rfam family "Eukaryotic large subunit ribosomal RNA", at positions 707 to 946 of the family's 3401-position model. The record is from RNAcentral. Lineage: Eukaryota; Metazoa; Echinodermata; Crinoidea; Comatulida; Antedonidae.